RNAcentral lists this transfer RNA (75 nucleotides) under Candidatus Melainabacteria bacterium. RNAcentral describes it as "tRNA-Thr". It matches the Rfam family "tRNA". From Rfam's summary of the family: Transfer RNA (tRNA) molecules are approximately 80 nucleotides in length. Lineage: Bacteria; Bacillati; Candidatus Melainabacteria. The record is from RNAcentral. RNAcentral also lists the same sequence under 1 other name.
GCCUAUGUAGCACAGCGGUAGUGCACCCCCUUGGUAAGGGGGAGGUCACGAGUUCGAUUCUCGUCAUAGGCUCCA